GUUAUAGUAGGUUAUGAGGUCCUUCUAACAUUUAAUGAGGAAGAAGUCCGUGAGUAAGGGCCUGGCCCUCUAGCCUGGCUUGUUGUGAGUUACCGAAAACAAACAAACUGCCAGCCUUAUUCCAAUCCUUAACCGCUACUGUGAAAGCCGAGGUUGCAGAAGUGAUGGAAUGGCCACUUUCACUGAUGUACAUUCUUUCUUUCAUAUAUUUCUUUUUGAACUGAUCAUUCUGGAUAAGAUCCAUAGGAAGGAGUGAGCACAGCAACAUAGACGGAUGAAGCCGAUUUUACAACAUGGAGUUUCAAACUUCAAGCAUCACUUCUUUUUCUUUAUUAACGCAGCGGGUGUUGAGUUGAGCUAUCUUUUCUUUAGAAGCGGCAGGAAGAAUCUUUGGAAGAAGCCUGUUUGGCCUUCGAAACCGAGCCAAUUGAAACUAUAACAGCACAGAUGGCUUUUAGUUUGCCAACAAUAAGUUUGAGAUUGCACUUAUUCGUUCAUUUCAAGGCGUAAACAUUGAAGAUUGACUUCUCUGCGUUGCUAUAUCGAGCGGAUUUGCUUACUGUGAUGCCAACCGAAUGCGGGACAGAAUAGAGGAAUUGAUUCCGCCUUCGCUCAUUUUUGCAUAAUAACGUGAGAAUCUCCACUACUUCCUUUUUGCGACUACAACUCCCGACCUUUCCUUUCUUAUCCUUU
RNAcentral lists this long non-coding RNA (693 nucleotides) under Musa acuminata (dwarf banana). Its description in RNAcentral is "long non-coding RNA (MACU_LNC010234)". Lineage: Eukaryota; Viridiplantae; Streptophyta; Magnoliopsida; Zingiberales; Musaceae. The record is from RNAcentral.